GCACCACACACAAAUUAAACUAAAACUGAGAUAUAUAAUCUAUAUAUACCUAGCUUAGCUACUACAGUACAGUUCAAUUAUAAUGCACAACAAAAUUUUAAGAUUGGACAGCUUAUUCAUACAAAUUCCAAAAGACUAUUGAAAUUUAAAGAAUAAUUCCUAAAAUUUGAAUAAUGUGCGGUAAAGAGGGCCUUUUCACAUACUCUCUGG
Molecule: long non-coding RNA, 210 nt
Filed under: Aquilegia coerulea
Lineage: Eukaryota; Viridiplantae; Streptophyta; Magnoliopsida; Ranunculales; Ranunculaceae
Description: long non-coding RNA (ACOE_LNC000740)
Source: RNAcentral